Molecule: ribosomal RNA, 254 nt
Filed under: uncultured bacterium
Lineage: Bacteria
Description: partial 16S ribosomal RNA
Rfam family: Bacterial small subunit ribosomal RNA
Source: RNAcentral
UACGGGGGGAGCAAGCGUUGUUCGGAUUUACUGGGCGUAAAGGGUGCGUAGGCGGGUCUUUUAAGUCAGGGGUGAAAUCCUGGAGCUCAACUCCAGAACUGCCUUUGAUACUGAAGAUCUUGAGUUCGGGAGAGGUGAGUGGAACUGCGAGUGUAGAGGUGAAAUUCGUAGAUAUUCGCAAGAACACCAGUGGCGAAGGCGGCUCACUGGCCCGAUACUGACGCUGAGGCACGAAAGCGUGGGGAGCAAACAGG